Long non-coding RNA from Sander lucioperca (pikeperch), 777 nucleotides. RefSeq lists it as uncharacterized. NCBI's taxonomy places the organism in Eukaryota, Metazoa, Chordata, Actinopteri, Perciformes, Percidae. The record is from RefSeq and is a predicted model, not a curated record. The transcript has 4 exons.
GCAGACAGACAGACAGACAGACAGACAGACAGACAGACAGACAGGCAGACAGAGAGACAGACAGAGACAGACAGACAGACAGAGAGACAGACAGACAGACAGACAGACAGAUAGUUGUGUGUAACAUCAACUCUAACUGUAGUUUAACUUCUUUUGUGAUUUUAUGGUAAAUUAAAACUCAUUGAGAUGAACUGAAACCUAAUUUAGGAGUAAAAUGUGUAGAAAUGAUGACUAAUGUAGACUAUAGCUGAGAGGAUGUAAUAGUUGUAAGUUGAUGAAUGAUAUAUUUAAAUAUGUGAUAUAUAAAUGUUCUUUUGUUGUCUUUAUUGGAAGCUGUGGAUGUUUAAAGGUUGAACUCUGAUGAAAUCAACAUCUGAAAUCAGUUUAAAGAGAUUAGUCUCCAUCUGGUGGAGAGACUCAGCAGCACAGAGGGGGAGGUGCAUGAUGGGAAAUGGAGGAUCCAACACUCACCAGUUUCUCAUGCUUCAUCUUUCUUUCUUCUGUUGAAGUUUUUGGCGUUUUUGUUCCUGUUUUGUGACGUUACUGUUGCUGUUUACAAGUUCUGGUUGUUUCUGAAUGUUGAAGUUUGAUUUUUUUAAACUUGUAGUCCCCUUUCUCAACGUUGUUGUGUCUUCUUUAACGUUGUUGUUCCUGUGUCUCUGUUGUUGACGUGGAAGAUAGAUGUACAUGUUGGUGAUGAGCUGAUCAAACAGCUGAAGUUGAUUUCCUUUCUCCAGCCGUCAGAAAACAAACUAGGCACGUUGGAGAUGACCAGGG